This 473-nucleotide ribosomal RNA is filed under the name Ectopseudomonas oleovorans. RNAcentral describes it as "partial 16S ribosomal RNA". It matches the Rfam family "Bacterial small subunit ribosomal RNA", at positions 1002 to 1479 of the family's 1533-position model. The record is from RNAcentral. Lineage: Bacteria; Pseudomonadati; Pseudomonadota; Gammaproteobacteria; Pseudomonadales; Pseudomonadaceae.
AGAGAUGGAUUGGGGCUUUAUGGGAGCUCAGACACAGGUGCUGCAAGGCUGUUGUCAGCUCGUGUCGUGAGAUGUUGGGUUAAGUCCGGUAACGAGCGCAACCCUUGUCCUUAGUUACCAGCACGUAAUGGUGGGCACUCUAAGGAGACUGCCGGUGACAAACCGGAGGAAGGUGGGGAUGACGUCAAGUCAUCAUGGCCCUUACGGCCAGGGCUACACACGUGCUACAAUGGUCGGUACAAAGGGUUGCCAAGCCGCGAGGUGGAGCUAAUCCCAUAAAACCGAUCGUAGUCCGGAUUGCAGUCUGCAACUCGACUGCGUGAAGUCGGAAUCGCUAGUAAUCGUGAAUCAGAAUGUCACGGUGAAUACGUUCCCGGGCCUUGUACACACCGCCCGUCACCCCAUGGGAGUGGGUCGCUCCAGAAGUAGGUAGUAUAACCUCGGAGGCCGGUACCAAGGAGUACCAAUUUAAG